CACCAGGUUGAUUCUGCCUGACGUGGACGCUAGUCUCACAGAUUUAGCCAUGCAUGUGUAAGCGAAGCUUAUAGUGGAGCGGUAUACGGCUCAGUAACGGGCGAUUUAUUUGUUCUCCUGGGACGGACCACAUCGGGAAACUGAUGGGAAAACGUCUAAGUUGCAGUUAAUUGACUGUGACGUAAACCUUUGUGUGCAGGAGAGUAAGAUGCCAUCCUAUCAGUUAGUAAGUAGGGUAAGGGCCUACUUAGACGAAGACGGGUACGGGGAAUGAGGGUUUGAUUCCGGAGAGGGAGCCUGAGAGAUGGCUACCAGGACCAAGGUCAGCAGCAGGCGCGAAAAUUAUCGAAGCCCGCCUAGGGGCGAUAGUGAGGAGACGUGUAUAACGAAGUACGUGUAAAGAACGUGCUAAUAACUGGAGGUCAAGUCUGGUGCCAGCAUCCGCGGUAAUUCCAGCUCCAGGGGUGUCUAUGAUGAUUGCUGCGAUUAAAAAGUCCGUAGUCAAUCUGACUGACUGACCUGCAAUGUGAUUGAUUAAAGAACGAGCAGGGUUAGGAAAGCAGAGAAUUAGGAGCGACCGAGGGCUAGAGUAUUGAAUGGCGAGAGGUGAAAUUUGAUGACCCAUUCAGGAGUGACAAAGGCGAAGGCACUAGUCAAGGGCGAAUCCGAUGAUCAAGGACGUAGGCUAGAGUUUCGAAAACGAUUAGAGACCGGAGUAGUUCUAGCAGUAAACUAUGCCGACGCCGUGGUAUCAAUAAUGGUAUUGCGGAAGAGAAAUCAAGUAAGGCUUUGGGGAGAGUACGCGCGCAAGCGAUAAAUUUAAAGGAAAUU
Molecule: ribosomal RNA, 831 nt
Filed under: Dictyocoela sp. BLAP VIC
Lineage: Eukaryota; Fungi; Microsporidia
Description: SSU rRNA
Rfam family: Microsporidia small subunit ribosomal RNA
Source: RNAcentral